GACGAACGCUGGCGGCGUGCCUAAUACAUGCAAGUUGAGCGCUGAAGGUUGGUACUUGUACCAACUGGAUGAGCAGCGAACGGGUGAGUAACGCGUGGGGAAUCUGCCUUUGAGCGGGGGACAACAUUUGGAAACGAAUGCUAAUACCGCAUAAAAACUUUAAACACAAGUUUUAAGUUUGAAAGAUGCAAUUGCAUCACUCAAAGAUGAUCCCGCGUUGUAUUAGCUAGUUGGUGAGGUAAAGGCUCACCAAGGCGAUGAUACAUAGCCGACCUGGGAGGGUGAUCGGCCACAAUGGGACUGAGAAAAGGCCCAAACUCCUACGGGAGGCAGCAGGAGGGAAUCUUCGGCAAAGGACGGAAGGCUGACCGGGCAACGCCGCGUGGGUGAAGAAGGUUUUCGGAUCGUAAAACUCUGUUGAUAGAGAAGAACGUUGGGGAGAGUGGAAAGCGCAUCAAGUGACGGUAACUACCCAGAAAGGGACGGCUAACUACGUG
RNAcentral lists this ribosomal RNA (497 nucleotides) under uncultured bacterium. Its description in RNAcentral is "partial 16S ribosomal RNA". It matches the Rfam family "Bacterial small subunit ribosomal RNA", at positions 28 to 507 of the family's 1533-position model. The record is from RNAcentral.